Molecule: ribosomal RNA, 392 nt
Filed under: uncultured Oscillatoria sp.
Lineage: Bacteria; Bacillati; Cyanobacteriota; Cyanophyceae; Oscillatoriales; Oscillatoriaceae
Description: bacterial SSU rRNA
Rfam family: Bacterial small subunit ribosomal RNA
Source: RNAcentral
AUGAACGCUGGCGGUCUGCUUAACACAUGCAAGUCGAACGGAAUCCUUAGGGAUUUAGUGGCGGACGGGUGAGUAACACGUAAGAACCUGCCUCUAGGACGGGGACAACAGUUGGAAACGACUGCUAAACCCGGAUGAGCCGAAAGGUAAAAGAUUAAUCGCCUAGAGAGGGGCUUGCGUCUGAUUAGCUAGUUGGUGAGGUAAGAGCCCACCAAGGCGACGAUCAGUAGCUGGUCUGAGAGGAUGAUCAGCCACACUGGGACUGAGACACGGCCCAGACUCCUACGGGAGGCAGCAGUGGGGAAUUUUCCGCAAUGGGCGAAAGCCUGACGGAGCAAGACCGCGUGGGGGAGGAAGGUUCUUGGAUUGUCAACCCCUUUUCUCAGGGAAGA